Molecule: transfer RNA, 73 nt
Filed under: Actinoplanes awajinensis subsp. mycoplanecinus
Lineage: Bacteria; Bacillati; Actinomycetota; Actinomycetes; Micromonosporales; Micromonosporaceae
Rfam family: tRNA
About the family: Transfer RNA (tRNA) molecules are approximately 80 nucleotides in length. Their secondary structure includes four short double-helical elements and three loops (D, anti-codon, and T loops).
Source: Rfam by way of RNAcentral
GCCCACUGAGCUCGGCAGGUCGAGCGCUGCCCUGAAAAGGCGGAGGUCGCUGGUUCGAUCCCAGCAGUGGGCA